This 496-nucleotide ribosomal RNA is filed under the name uncultured bacterium. RNAcentral describes it as "partial 16S ribosomal RNA". It matches the Rfam family "Bacterial small subunit ribosomal RNA", at positions 29 to 507 of the family's 1533-position model. The record is from RNAcentral.
AUGAACGCUGGCGGCGUGCCUAAUACCUGCAAGUCGAGCGAACGGACGAGAAGCUUGCUUCUCUGAUGUUAGCGGCGGACGGGUGAGUAACACGUGGAUAACCUACCUAUAAGACUGGGAUAACUUCGGGAAACCGGAGCUAAUACCGGAUAAUAUUUUGAGCCGCAUGGUUCAAAAGUGAAAGACGGUCUUGCUGUCACUUAUAGAUGGAUCCGCGCUGCAUUAGCUAGUUGGUAAGGUAACGGCUUACCAAGGCAACGAUGCAUAGCCGACCUGAGAGGGUGAUCGGCCACACUGGAACUGAGACACGGUCCAGACUCCUACGGGAGGCAGCAGUAGGGAAUCUUCCGCAAUGGGCGAAAGCCUGACGGAGCAACGCCGCGUGAGUGAUGAAGGUCUUCGGAUCGUAAAACUCUGUUAUUAGGGAAGAACAUAUGUGUAAGUAACUGUGCACAUCUUGACGGUACCUAAUCAGAAAGCCACGGCUAACUACGUG